Molecule: ribosomal RNA, 254 nt
Filed under: uncultured bacterium
Lineage: Bacteria
Description: partial 16S ribosomal RNA
Rfam family: Bacterial small subunit ribosomal RNA
Source: RNAcentral
GACGUAGGGCGCGAGCGUUGUCCGGAUUUAUUGGGCGUAAAGAGCUCGUAGGCGGUUGGGUAAGUCGGGGGUGAAAACUCAGGGCUCAACUCUGAGACGCCACUCGAUACUGCCCUGACUCGAGUCCGGUAGGGGAGCGUGGAAUUCCCGGUGUAGCGGUGAAAUGCGCAGAUAUCGGAAGGAACACCAGUGGCGAAGGCGGCACUCUGGGCCAGUACUGACACUGAGGAGCGAAAGCGUGGGUAGCGAACAGG